UUGUCCGGCCACGUCACCGUCGCCAGUUUGUAUCGCGCGGUCCAGCGGUCGAUCUUGCGCAUGUCUUCCACGACCAGUGCGUGCCGCAGUUCGCCGCGCAGCGCGACGUUCCAAAGUCCGAUCACCGGAUGGGUCUGAUCGCCGGAAGCUGCGACCGCGAGUUGUGCGCCUUCUUCGAUCCGCGCGCGCUGCAAUCGCGCAACCAGAUCGCGCGGCAGGA
RNAcentral lists this unclassified non-coding RNA (220 nucleotides) under Hevea brasiliensis (rubber tree). Lineage: Eukaryota; Viridiplantae; Streptophyta; Magnoliopsida; Malpighiales; Euphorbiaceae. The record is from RNAcentral.